This 3262-nucleotide long non-coding RNA is filed under the name Gallus gallus (chicken). Lineage: Eukaryota; Metazoa; Chordata; Aves; Galliformes; Phasianidae. The record is from RNAcentral.
GGAGAGGCGACAGACACUUUGCAGAAGGAGGCCGGGAGCAUUUCUGGUGAGCAGCUGCCUUGUGGCGCCUCUGCUCUGUGCCCUCACAGGGGGUGCUGCGGGCACGUCUUAGGAAGCAGCGUCUUAGGAAAGGCCUAAUGUAGCAAGGGGGUUAAUUUUAAUUACUUUCUCAGGCAGUAAAGCACAGCUUUGGAAUGCAUUUCUUAGAGGCUGAAGGAGGAUUCAUGCCGGCAUUUCAAAGAUUUAGGCUCCAAUCAUUUUCCAUCCUAAAUACUUAUAUUAUGAUGCUUAAAUAGAAACCAUCAAGAUUUUCAUAUUACUUAGCAAUUUGUGAAAAUGUAGUUAAGGGCUUUGAGAACACCCCUAAGUAAUUAAAGAUCUGUUUAAAAACAAGCCCCUCAGUAUUACCUCUUCCAGCUGCUAUGGGCACCUGGCUGUGCCCUCUGCUGUGGCUGGCUGCACCUGGUUGUUUUUAGCAGGUAUGUUUUUUAUUUGUUGUACAGAUUUCACUUAUUUGGAAACAUAGAAGGGGCUGCAGUCUGAAGCCACGUGUGCAGCUGUCUCCUGUUUCAGGUGUAGGGUAGGUUUGCCAGUUUUGUGCUAUUGUCAGAUCAGUGUGAGGUAAAUGCGUUUGAUGUGUUUGGUUCAGUUGCACAGUGGUUUCUGCAGAGCUUAGAACUUCUCUCCUUGUUCUGCAGGUUUUGAGUCCAUAGCUGCACUGUUAUCUGUCACGAUUGGUAGUGUUAAAGCAAGGGGGUAGCUUAGAGACUUCUGCCUUUCGCUUAUAGUUACUGCAUCCCUGCUGAGAUGUAGGUGACCCCCUGAGCACUCAUGGUUCUACUGCACAGUCACACUGGUGGUAAAGCUUUUACUUUGUGCUGCAGUGGAUUGGGGCCAUUCACAACCUAAGGUACGGCUGAGGUCAUUUCUUCCUGAAUGCCAUGAAUUGUGCAUUAUAUAUAGUGUGAGAACUGUAACGUACUCUUAAUUGUAGUCAUAUACAGAAACAUAUUUGCUGUAAGUAUGUUAGGGUGUUAGCUUAGUGCAAGCUUGAUAGAGUGUGCUUAAAUAUCUGUCCUUGGAGAAAUGCUUAGAAAAUGACCAGCAAGGAAAUUAUGAGGGAAAGACCUUAAAAAUGAUCUGGUCUGCCUUGAUAUGGUCACCAGUAGCAACUGCUGUUUCAGAAACAAAUUAACAGCAGAAGCCAUGUUAAAAGCAUGACAUUGACUCGUAACUGUUGUCCAUUCAUUUUCUUUUGUGGAUGUAGCCCAUGAGAGUGCCUCGCCCUGCACCGCCUGAAUGUGUGCCAUCCCUCGUGGAGGAGCAAGUCUGUAUUGCUGUGUUGUGACCACUAUAUAAAAAUAUGCUAAAACCAACAGGAAAAGGAAGUAAAUGAAAAUUUUGAUCUAAAAAGCAACAAAGAGGAAAAGUAUACUGUGAUCUAUAUCAGAACCAGAGCAGGAUAAAUAAAAAAGAACAUUGAUAUGUUCUUGAGAAAAUAAGUUUGCUGCCUUUACCACUAAAAUGUUUAACUGACAAAGGUUUAAAGGAAAGAAAAACAGUGAGGUGUGGGAGAGGGGAACAUCCUGAAUAUCUCACUGGGUUUUUAACAUGUCUAAUAGCUUUGUAUAAAUGCUAAUUAAUGACAAAGCUCAGCAUGGCUGUGCGCCAUGCAACCAGUCCUGUGAGACUCAUUGUAGUAGUAAUUUUUUUCUAUGUGCUGUUCUCUGCACCGGCAAAAUGUUCUCCUGAGUGACAUUGUGUGUAUCCUUUUGGUGUCCUCUGGUCCUGAGCACUGCCCUAGCUGCGUGCCAUCACUCAUAAUCUCAUGUCUAAAAAGGAAUUUUAUUUUAACCUUGUUUAGCUCUGGAAAAGUUACUUUUCUGGUUAGUGCGAGUGCUGUUGCAGGGAGUAGUUUCAAACCACUGCGCUUUGUAAAUGUGCAUGCUGAUUAAAACUUCUACUUUUCAUAAUGAUCUAGUAAUAUAGCGGUCAUGCAAGUAAUAGUCCAUACCUAAUGAUUUUGUGUCCAAGGACUGCAAGAAUUACUAUAAUAUAUUCAGUGGCUAGUUUUAAGAAUUACAAAGACAUUUACUUCUGGGGAAAAAAAAAAAAAGUGAUACCUAAUUUCUGAUUCUGAUGUCUUAUGAAGAUGAAGUGGCUGAACCCAGUGCUUCUGUUCAAUGUGGAGGAUGUGUGUGGGACAAAAAGCAAUGUGUUUUGAAGGUGUACUACAGAAAUGGGUACUUAGGGGUUCAUGUGGACUGCUUCUCAUUAAUGUUUCUGUUGGAAAUAGUGCAAGCUGAUCACAGGAUGAAAGUAGAGGUGGUAUCAUUGAAAGAAAAUGGAAGAACAGAUUGGAAUGUGCAAAUUCAUUUAGACAUAGUCUUGAGGCUGUAUGACAGUGUGACCGAGGCUGGUAUACUGGCCUGGAACUAGAGUAGUUCCUUUGAAAUCUAGCAUGGUCUAGUGUAGGUACAUGUGGAAUUUGAGGCACCGCUUGUUGCAGAAAAGCUUUCUGGAUCUACAGAAUUCUCCAGGUAUGUGAUGUGAUAUGCUUCACGUGAACUCUGACUCUUAACAGAUGCCAGUGGCGUGUUAGAGACUUCAGUUUCCUGUUUGUAGUUUCCCUGUGUUUGUUUGAGGUGUGGUGUUGGUAUGAGUACGUAGUUGCACAAGGACUGCAGUCAUGAGGAAGUUGCAGUGCUGCCCCUCUGUCCCCAGCUUCUCGCUCCUGCCAAGCCAGCCUGUCCCUGUGUUUAGAAAGGAAAUUGCACCCUGUUGAACGUAGCCAGGUGUGUUGCUGCAGAGAAGCCAUACAAAGCCAUGCCUAUGUAAGAGGAAGGAUUGGAAUGAGCUACACAGGGAACAUGAAACGCUUCCUUUUGGAAGUGGUACUAAGUUCAAGUGUUUGUGUAAUUAUGACUUGGUGGUACUGGUUUUCUUGCUCUUGGUGAGGGGAAAAAUAAAAGCCAUCCAAAAACGUUUUAGAAAAGAUUUAAAUGUGAGCAUCUCUUCCAUAUUAAAAAAGAAAAAAUGUCAUGAAUGAAAGAAGAGCUGGGUUGUAGUGUUAGCCCGUGACGACAGCUCCUAAAAUACAUUAGAGUAAACAUCAUCAAGUAACUAAAAUGGCAGUCGUAUUUCAACAAAAUAAUGACAAAUAUAUCUCAGUCAAUAGAAGUCUUUCCCCCGUGACUUACAUUUUUUUUCUUUUUGCUUAACAUUUUUUGUGGGAGGGGCUCAGUGCAUAAGCAUGUUGGGA